Microtus oregoni (creeping vole) is the source of this 380-nucleotide long non-coding RNA. RefSeq lists it as uncharacterized. Lineage: Eukaryota; Metazoa; Chordata; Mammalia; Rodentia; Cricetidae. The transcript has 3 exons. The record is from RefSeq and is a predicted model, not a curated record.
UGCAGCUCCAGUUGCAAUAGACAACCCAGGAUUGAAGGCGACAUGGAGAGAAGUUGAAGCUACCUUGGCAACAUGUGACAAGUGGCACUCAUUCUUCUUGUCACGCUUGCUGCCUGUUCCUGCCAGCAAAUCUCCCAACAUGAAAAGGAUAGCAGACCUCUGCAGCCCCCACCUGUCUGGACACGACCUAUUCAAACAACUCUCUUCUCUCUGACCUCAUCUGUCCCAGUACCUUCUGCCCUUCUCAGUCCUUCAGCUGCUCAACGUCAGCACCCUCCCCAUCACAUCUGGGACGUCCUGUCUUCUCCUCACAGGUCACAUCAGAUGCCAGCAGCUGGAGUCUUCCCAGUAUCUCCCUACAAAGGAACUGUUCUGUUAAC